CUAGGGCGUGUUACCCCCCAGUGGUGUGGCCUUUUCUUUUUUUCUUUUUCUUCUUCUUCUUUUUCUUUCCUCCUCUUCCUCCUCCACCUCCUCCUCUUCCUCUUCUACCUCCUCCUCUUUCUUCUCUACCUCCUCCUCUUCCUCCUCCAUCUCCUCCUCUUCCUCUUCCACCUCCUCCUCCUCCUCUUCUUCCUCUACCUCCUCCUCUUCCUCCUCCACCUCCUCCUCCUCCUCUUCCUCUUCCACCUCCUCCUCUUCCUCCUCCACCUCCUCCUCUUCCUGCUCCACCUCCUCCUCUUUCUCCUCCACCUUCUCCUCUUCCUCUUCCUCUUCCACCUCCUCCUCUUCCUCUUCCACCUCCUCCUCUUCCUCCUCCACCUCCUCCUCUUCCUUCUCCACCUCCUCCUCUUCCUCCUCCACCUCCUCCUCUUCCUCCUUCACCUCCUCCUCUUCCUCUUCCACCUCCUCCUCUUCCUCCUCUCACUUCUCCUCCUCCUUUUUUUUUUUGACAAAGUCUCACAUAGCCCAGACUGUCCUUGAACUCCCUAUGAAUCCAGCGAUGACCUUGAACUUCUGAUCCUCCUGCCUCCACCUCCCAAGUGCUAGGAUUACAAGUGUGCACAACCAUGCCUGGUUUGCACCACGGUGGGAACUGAACUCAGAGCAAGCGCCGUAUUAACUGAGCUAUAGCUGGCCCUCACUGGCCCUCCUUGGCUUUAAUGCUCAGAUAACCAGCAGCUUACAAGGUACAUUCACAAGGUUCUGCGGUAGUGGCUUGAUCUGUUGGUUGUAAAAUUUCUUGUGAGAAAUUCAGCACCUAGCAUGAACAUGUGAAGUUGGCCUUUAAAAUAAAUAAAUAAAUAAAUAAAUAAAUAAAUAAAUAAAUAAAUAAAUAAGUUCCGUCCGUUCCAUCUUUGUUUAGUUAAGUCCCAUAAAGACUUCAGUGUUUGGCACUGGGGAGGGGUUUCCUCCCGUACUCGCCCACGUACAAGGAGCAUGCGUUUGAAUAUGAAAUUAAUAGUAUGUGUGUGGCUUAGAAACCCACCUUGCCAUUAACCACCAGUGCACGCAUGGCAGUCCCGAGUGUGUUCUUGUGCCAGAUCAAGCCGUGAGGUUGUGGAGCAGUGUAGAGGAAGUGGGAUUGGGGUGACAUGGUAGUAAAAGGUGAUGCUGGCUGGGUGGGGGUGUGUAAGGGUGAGUGGAGGAAUGAGGCAGAGGCCACCCCUCAGCAGAUG
This 1235-nucleotide long non-coding RNA is filed under the name Mus musculus (house mouse). RNAcentral describes it as "long non-coding RNA chr17:47207106-47208341". Lineage: Eukaryota; Metazoa; Chordata; Mammalia; Rodentia; Muridae. The record is from RNAcentral.